UAAACGUGACAUUUAAUGUGACUUGCAACGGUCGUGAAUCAUCAAGUUUUUGAACGCAUACCGAACUGUUUUGCCUCCGGGCAAAAUGGUACUUGUUUAUCAGUGUCAGUUUUUUUUAUUCAGCUACAAACCUUCGAUGGAGAUUAAUGGUCAACGAGAGAGGCAACUCUCUUCAAUCUUCAAAGUUGGUUCAAGGUUUCGACAUGAUCGAGCACUUUUUUCAAUAGCGAAAAAUUUCAUAGACACCAAAACUUGGAAUUGACCAAGCCAAUUUUUUGUGUUAUACCGUGAGAUUUUUCAACUUUGAAAGCAUUAAUUUCUGACCUGAUUUAUGAGUGGAUACCCACUGAAUUUAA
RNAcentral lists this unclassified non-coding RNA (356 nucleotides) under uncultured Pilobolus. RNAcentral's name for it is "sequence contains ITS1". The stretch from base 1 to 108 matches the Rfam family "5.8S ribosomal RNA", at positions 50 to 154 of the family's 154-position model. The record is from RNAcentral. Lineage: Eukaryota; Fungi; Mucoromycota; Mucoromycetes; Mucorales; Pilobolaceae.